AUUAAUAGCUCCUUUGUCGUACCAACAGGAACGAUUACCAACAGUGCCUUUAUCCGGAAUGUUUAACAAAUCCGGAGGAAAAGUAAGACUCACAUUCAAACUGGAGCAAGAUCAGUUGUGGAUCGGAACAAAAGAGAGAACAGAGAAAGUUCCAAUGGGCUCUAUUAAAAAUGUAGUGUCCGAACCCAUCGAAGGCCAUGAGGACUAUCACAUGAUGGACCCAAAUGAUUCUGACCACAGAAUCCUGCUUUUCAAAAUUCCUGUGAAUCCAUGGAGUACUCCUGUAUCCUCUCAACUACGAAGAAGCAGAGAGUUCCAGCAAAGCCGAGGAUGACCAGAAGCAGGAGCUGCCACGUUAGCAGAAGGUCCUCGUCCACAGCCAUGGAAAUUAAAACACGCCUGAAAAAAAAUCAUAUUGAGGGCCUUUCUUGCCCUCAACAGUUCUCCAUCUUAGCUGGCCAGGAUCUGCCUGAUUGCAGCCUACUCUUCUUGAGUGCCGUCACUGGGCUCGACUAGGUCGAAGAUACAAAAACCUGGACGAAAGAAAUUCCAGUGUAAUUUUUUUGAAGGACAAAUCUGGUUCCAAAUUUCUGCAAUUUGGAACCAGUACCAUUACGUUCAUCUUGACAAACACUUGGAAAAUCCAAGGCUGGCAAUUUGGAGGAAAAUCAUUUUGUGGAUAAAAAAAAAAAGUAAAUUCACAACUGUUUCCUCUUUGAUUCGUUAUGUUAUUCCUGAGUGACGACCUCAGUACAUUCUGGUUGAUUUUGUAAGACCACGGGGAAAGAAGUGUAAUUAUCUGGAGAAAAGUCCUUUACGUUGUGCGCGUUGAGAGCAGCGACUGCCCUUCCUCUUCAGACAGCAGCUCCUCUUCACGAUGACUCGUCCUCAAGACCAGGAAGCUGAGCGUGCCAAGGACGGAGGAGACCAGCAGGAACAGAAAAAUAUUCCUCCUGCUGCUGUCUGAGAUUAAAAUAAACGGCUUUAAUAAAAGGCGACAGAUAUUUUAAAACCGUUGAGCUGAGACAGAUUUAUAAUUACCACCCAGUCGUAUAAUCCUGUGUGAUGAUAAUUUACUUGCAUUAUCGUGCAACAUUUUUGCUUUUAUAAUCAAAACGGUAAUUAGCCAAGUCUGACUUCACCUGAUAUUUCUGAUUUUCCGUUCCAGUCGAGGUAAAUGUAAAGAUUCCCAAACAGCAUGCUGCAAAUGAAAGGGACUCCAUUAAUGAAUGGGGGAAAAAAAGCUUCUAUUGUCUUUCUGAUCAUUAGCACAGCUGGCCUGUUUGUUUUCACCCGUCCAUAAAUAUGCCGCCCACUUUCCCUUUAUGGAGCUUUUAAAUCAAGCCUGCUGUACAAGUCCACACUGCCCACAAUUGCUCUUUAUAUAUUAUACAGAGCACUGUAUAUUCACUAUAUAUGCCAUGUUAUCCCAGCGUCAGCAUUCUGUGUGAAGUUUAUGGAGCGUGGCACCCACAGAAAUCCCCACAAUGAAAUGUAAAAUGUAGCCUCUGCUUGUCAUUACAUAAAAGAACAAAUGUUGUCUCUCUGAAAAGUCCCAUAAUGUAACACAUCAGCUGCUAUCAUGCAAAAACUGCUACUGAGCAGUAGUAAGUCUGUCCAUGUGUCAUUUUGAGGUGGAGUUGUUUUCUUUUUUCUUCCCAUGUUCUCAUCUGUUCUUCAUUGAUUUUUUUAAACGAAUGCAUCUACUAUUCCUCCAUGCUCAUGUGAGCAAAAAGCAUGCAAGUCUGAGGAAAAUACAUGUAUUUUGUAGCUGAAAUAAAAAUUAGAAAUAUACUAGAAUGGA
This is a long non-coding RNA of Xiphophorus hellerii (green swordtail), 1804 nucleotides long. RefSeq lists it as uncharacterized. The record is from RefSeq and is a predicted model, not a curated record. Lineage: Eukaryota; Metazoa; Chordata; Actinopteri; Cyprinodontiformes; Poeciliidae. The transcript is spliced from 4 exons.